UACGUAGGUGACAAGCGUUGUCCGGAAUUACUGGGCGUAAAGGGCGCGUAGGCGGCGUGUCAAGUCAGGCGUGAAAGCCCCGGGCUCAACCUGGGAACCGCGCUUGAGACUGGCAUGCUCGAGUUCGGGAGAGGAUGGUGGAAUUCCCAGUGUAGAGGUGAAAUUCGUAGAUAUUGGGAAGAACACCGAUGGCGAAGGCAGCCAUCUGGACCGACACUGACGCUGAGGCGCGAAAGCGUGGGGAGCAAACAGG
RNAcentral lists this ribosomal RNA (253 nucleotides) under uncultured bacterium. RNAcentral's name for it is "partial 16S ribosomal RNA". It matches the Rfam family "Bacterial small subunit ribosomal RNA", at positions 524 to 776 of the family's 1533-position model. The record is from RNAcentral.